RNAcentral lists this small nucleolar RNA (83 nucleotides) under Mus caroli (Ryukyu mouse). RNAcentral's name for it is "snoRNA (MGP_CAROLIEiJ_G0036496.1)". The record is from RNAcentral. Lineage: Eukaryota; Metazoa; Chordata; Mammalia; Rodentia; Muridae.
UGGAUCAGUGAUGAACAAUAAUUACUAUCUCUUGUUUGGGUCUGACAACCAUGAGAUCAACCCACAUGUAGCUCUGAGAACUA